This 77-nucleotide transfer RNA is filed under the name Lysobacterales bacterium. Its description in RNAcentral is "Xanthomonadales bacterium tRNA-Arg". It matches the Rfam family "tRNA". From Rfam's summary of the family: Transfer RNA (tRNA) molecules are approximately 80 nucleotides in length. Their secondary structure includes four short double-helical elements and three loops (D, anti-codon, and T loops). Lineage: Bacteria; Pseudomonadati; Pseudomonadota; Gammaproteobacteria; Lysobacterales. The record is from RNAcentral.
GCGGCGCUAGCUCAACUGGACAGAGCACUCGGCUACGAACCGAAAGGUUUCAGGUUCGACUCCUGAGCGCCGCACUA